RNAcentral lists this ribosomal RNA (242 nucleotides) under uncultured Enterobacteriaceae bacterium. Its description in RNAcentral is "partial 16S ribosomal RNA". It matches the Rfam family "Bacterial small subunit ribosomal RNA", at positions 1140 to 1381 of the family's 1533-position model. The record is from RNAcentral. Lineage: Bacteria; Pseudomonadati; Pseudomonadota; Gammaproteobacteria; Enterobacterales; Enterobacteriaceae.
CAAAGGAGACUGCCGGUGAUAAACCGGAGGAAGGUGGGAUGACGUCAAGUCAUCAUGGCCCUUACGAGUAGGGCUACACACGUGCUACAAUGGCAUAUACAAAGAGAAGCGAACUCGCGAGAGCAAGCGGACCUCAUAAAGUAUGUCGUAGUCCAGAUUGGAGUCUGCAACUCGACUCCAUGAAGUCGGAAUCGCUAGUAAUCGUACGAUCAGAAUGCUACGGUGAAUACGUUCCCGGCCUU